RNA transcript from Trifolium pratense (red clover), 4063 nucleotides. It is a transcript of the gene named pentatricopeptide repeat-containing protein At1g02060, chloroplastic-like, with no coding region annotated. The transcript is spliced from 4 exons. The record is from RefSeq and is a predicted model, not a curated record. NCBI's taxonomy places the organism in Eukaryota, Viridiplantae, Streptophyta, Magnoliopsida, Fabales, Fabaceae.
CUCCGGCAACGAACGAAGUAGCCUAUUCGGUUUCAUCGACCAAACCAUUCUAAUUCUAAGAUACACAAACAAACAUGCAUUUUCGAACUAUAUCAUCAUCAAAUCAAUGUCUCAUUUCACUUUCCAACUUCACUUCACACUCAUCUUCAUCUCUCAGGUGUUUUUCUUCUGUUCAAACACAAAAUACCAUCAAUGGAGUUGAACAACAACAAGAAGAACUUGAUCAAAAUGAAAAACCCAGAUCAAGAAACUCAAGCAAAACAGCUAAAACAAUGGUUAAUCUAAUAAAUUUCAAACCUUGGUCAAAUGGGUUAUUAUCAUCAUUCACAACUUCACUUUCCAAAACCACUGUUCUUCAAACACUUCGUCAUAUUAAGGUACCAUCAAAAGCCUUUUUCUUUUUCAAUUGGGUACAUCAAAAUGGUUUCUCUCAUAAUCCUCAAUCCUAUUUUAUCAUGUUACAAAUUUUGGGUCGUCAGAAGAAUCUUAAUGUAGCUAGGAAUUUUCUAUUUUCUAUUGAGAAAAGGUCUAAUGGUGAAGUUAAGCUUAAAGAUAAGUUUUUUAAUAGCUUAAUUAGAAGUUAUGGUGAAGCUGGAUUGUUUAAAGAGUCUGUGAAGCUUUUUGAGACUAUGAAAUCUAUUGGUGUUUCGCCAUCUGUCAUUACGUUUAAUAGUGUUAUGUUUAUUUUGCUUAAAAGGGGUAGGACAAAUAUGGCUAAAGAGGUGUAUGAUGAAAUGCUUAACACGUAUGGUGUUACGCCGGAUAUUUACACGUUUAACAUUUUGAUUCGAGGGUUUUGUAAGAAUUCUAGGGUUGAUGAAGGGUUUCAUUUCUUUAGAGAAAUGACGAGAUUCAAUUGUGAUCCGGAUGUUGUUACUUAUAACACGCUUGUUGAUGGGUUGUGUAGAGUAGGGAAGAUUAAGGUAGCGCAUAAUUUGGUGAAUGGUAUGAGCAAGAAAUGCAAAGAUUUGAGUCCUAAUGUUGUUACUUAUACGACUUUGAUUCGAGGGUAUUGUAUGAAACAAGAACUCGAUGAGGCCUUGGUUAUUCUUGAAGAAAUGAAUGGUAGAGGGCUUAAGCCGAAUUUAUUUACCUAUAAUACUCUCAUAAAAGGACUUUGUGAGUCGAACAAGUGGGACAAGAUGAAAGAUAUUUUGGAACAAAUGAAAGGCGAUGGUGGAUCUGUUCCAGAUGAAUGUACCUUCAAUACACUGAUUAGUUCACAUUGUUGUGAUGGAAACCUUGAUGAAGCAUUCAAGAUUUUCGAAAACAUGCAAAAAUUAGAGGUCUCAGCAGAUUCAGUCUCAUACAGUGUUCUGAUAGGAAGUUUAUGUCUGAAAGGGGACUAUGAUAAGGCAGAAAGGCUUUUGGAUGAGUUAUUUGAGGAGGAAAUUUUGUUACGUGAUUAUGGCCCAAAGCCGCUGGCUGCUUCUUAUAGGUGUAUUUUUCAGUAUUUGUGUGAACAUGGGAAAACAAAGAAGGCCGAAAGGCUACUCAGACAGCUAAUGAAAAGGGGAACACAAGAUCCCAUAUCAUACAAGAUAGUGAUUUUGGGGCAUUGUAAAGAAGGUGCAUUCGAAAAUGGAUAUGGGCUUUUAAUAUGGAUGCUGAGAAGGGAUUUUCUUCCCGAUGUUGAUAUUUAUGACUAUUUGAUUGAUGGUUUGCUUCAGAAGGAUAAGCCUCUCCUUGCAAAGGAGACACUAGAGAAAAUGCUAAAGAGCUCUUAUCAACCAGAAACAAAUACAUGGCAUUCUAUACUCUCUAGACUUUUGGAAAAGGGCUGUGUUAACGAGUCUGCCGGUGUUAUUGUCAUGAUGUUGGAGAGAAAUAUCAGACAAAAUAUAAACCUUUCAACUAAGUGUUUACAACUACUUUUUGAACUUGGACUGCAUGAUAAAGCAUUCAAAAUUAACGAGUUGAUUUAUAAGAAUGGAUACUGUGUUAAAAUGGAUGAAGUUGUUCAAUUUCUUUGCAACAAAGGAAGGACAUCAGAAGCAUGCAAAAUGUUUCUUUUUUGUUUGAAAAAUAAUCAGAAUAUCGACAUUGAUUUGUGUAAUAUUGUUAUUCUCGAUCUUUGCAAAAUUAACAAGGCUUCAGAAGCAUUUAGUUUAUGCUAUGAAUUGGUGGAGAAAGGUUUGCAUCAGGACUUGACAUGUCUCAAUGAUCUGGUAACUGCUUUAGAGGCAGGUGGAAGAAUAGAGGAGGCUGCAUUUAUAUCAAAGAGAAUACCAAGAGCAGAUAACUUGGAUCGAUCUGAACGAAAUAAUAACGCUAAGAAGUCCAAGCCUGAUAAAAUAUUAAGAGGCUAGAAUGGCAUGAAAAGAGGUUAGGGAUCCAUUAUCAUCCGAGUCAAUGCUGACUGGGAAACCUCUUGUUCAGGAGUAGAUGAGCGCUAUGUCUAAGUAGGUGACUCUAUUUGGAUUAUUCUACUGCUUCCUCGGACUAUCAUCAAAGGCUGGUUAAACAUUGUUAUAGAAUGAUCGGGUCGGGCUGAUAUUUCUCCAUUAGAGCGACGAAUGGUUAAGAUCAGAGAAGAUGCCAAUUGAGACAUAUAUAUAUAUAUAUAUAUAUAUAUAUAUAUAUAUCCAUGAAUUGUUUGAUGUGUCAGAUAAAACAUCAAGGUUGCUGACGAAGAAUGAUGAGAAGAUGGAAUAAAUUGCUACCAAAAAGAAAAAAGGCAGUCUUAGCUAGUCUUACUCGUUUGUGUAUUUCAUGACUCUGAUGUUGUCUUUGUUAGUCUUACUCGUUUAAGAUUUCUUGUAUUAUAAUUUUGGUCUUAAUCUUCCGGUUCUCAUGAGAAAUGGCUCACGGUAAUUCAAAGUUCUGCUGGUAGGUAAGUAAAGUUUGAUCAACUAUUGUUUCAGCUAGGAUUUGAACUCAAGUACCUCGAUCUAUUCCUUUAUUAAAAUAUCUAUUUUGUCGAAACAACUCUGGUUUUCCUAUUAUCUUGUUUUGAAACCUAAAGUGCAUGCAUACCCUGGUUGGAUUUUAUUUCUGAAAAGUUUGCUGGAGAUGGUUCAGGUCGUGACUGAUAAACACAAUAAUUUCUAGGAAGUGUAGAACAAUUGUACUUUCUUUCCCUUUUUUGUUUUAUUAAGUUGACUAGUUUUCAGUAUAGGUAGGUGGAAACUGUAACUAUUUCAUUUUUCAGACAGAGUUAAACUUGUGACUUUCAUUAUGGACAAAAAAAAAAUUGUGUUAAGCUUCUGGUUACCAAGAGAAGGGGACUCUGAUUAUCUAAAGUUUGGCUGCAUAGUAAGUAAAGUCCGACAAAAAAUUGUCCCAAAAAACGCUAAGUUAGUUCAUAGAGUUGUAGAUAAAUUUGCUUCCAUUGCAUUUGCAAACUGUUUUAUUUCUAUGUAGAGAAAUGCAAUGAGUAAGUAGAUAAACAUAUGUAGACAUGUAAGCACCAUUAGCUUUGGAAAAAUGAAAAGCAUUAAUGAAUUACGUACCUAUAACCUAGAACCUAGAACCUAUAACAUGUCCAUCUAAGCAAUUUAUGCAAGGAGGUUUGCCGCUAAUUUGUUUGUUUAAAAAGCAAUUAGGGUUUGCUAAUGUUGCAAACUAUGUUAGGAUUAGAUAUAUAAAGAUAAAGAUAAAGAUACUUUAGGCCUCCAAUUCAUCUAUGAGCUAAUGCACUAAGCUAUUAGAGAUUCUUAGGCUGUGCUACCAGGAAGCAAUGACCAAAACUAACGGAAGAAGAACCACUUACUUGAGUUACAUACCAAAGCUACUGAUGCAUUUUCUUGGUUCUUCCCUGUCGUUAAAUAUCUCAACUUAAAAUAUUCCAUUUUUAAAUUUGGUCUCUUUUGUUAACUCCAUUUAACAGACGAUGACUUGACACUAACAUGCGACAAAUUUCUAACUUAUGUUGAUGUGGCAUCGACACAUAGCAAUUUUUAGAUGACAUGACAUUUCUAUAUUUAUUAUUUUAUCACUACAUUUUCUUCAUCUUUUUUUAUUGAUACAAUUUCCAUCUUCUUUGUUGCUAUUUUUCUCCUCCUCUCGAUUGAUAGACAUGGUCAGGCGAAGCUCUGGUUUGAGAGUUAUAGUUAUAGCAAUG